CUUUGUGGUUGGACUGGCUGCCCCAGAAAGCUGUAAUAGGCUUUGUUUCUUGUUUAUCACAACACCUGGAUAUCUUUCAUCCCAAAUCCUGGCUGUUGGUCUGAGGAGGAUGUCAAUGUGUCAGUUGGAUAGCUGGACACAGCUGUUUCCCUGCCCUGGAAAUGGACCCAAAGGAAUCAGAAACAAAGGACGCUGAUGCUGCUUUUCAUCCUUCUGCCCAAGGAGAAUAAAUGUUUGUGCAAACCUUUUUUCAUGUGGCUGCCCAGAAAUGACCCAAGUGAAGCCAAGAAGCUGAACAUUAAGCAACCUCCCCCUGGUGAUGCUGCUGAAAUGAGAGAAUGCAUCCUCUGACGCUGUGUGACAUAGUUUACCUGUAAAUUUUAUUGCCUGAAGAUUUGCCCCUCUACAUUGUUCCUGCAGGGACCACACAGAAGAAUAAAACCUAGGACCAUGCCUCCACAUCACACCAAAUGCCCCUUUCUUGCCACCAGAUUUCACGGCAGGGAGGGUGUGUCCCUCUCUGACAACUUCUGAUAACUGUGAUAACUCACUAAUGAUUCAGAAAUCAAGACCUCAAAUCCAAAACUCAAGAUCUUCCUCUCCAACCUGGCAACAGCUCCGAGGUUCACUCACAGGCCAUGCAGAGGAGAGGAAAGAGGAAGCUCUGUUUGAAGACGCUCCAAGCCUCCAAUUUUGGUGAAAGGUCCAUCUGGGUCAGUGGAGAAGUGUUUCCCAACAGGCAGCAAGAGGAAGACCAGCUUAAACUGGACACUAGUAUUUUAGGCAUUAGGAUGAGAGGCAUGGGAACUUCGUGAGGUCUGAUCCUGUGCACACUGGGGGAAGAUGAGGAUCUCAAGCAAUGCCUUUUUAUUCCAGAGCAGCAGCUCCUGCUAAGCUGAGUGGGGUUGUGGGCAGCAGAGAGGUGAAUCCCAUUUCUGGGACAGGUGAGCCAUUGAAACAUGCAGGAUUUUCUCUUGCCUUUGGCUUUUUGAGUUAAUGGGUGUGAAACUCCUUUUCACUUCUGCUUUUCAUGUGCAUGCUUGGUGCAAUGCACUUCUGGUGUGGAGUUUUGCAAUCAGGAGAUUUCCCCAUCAAGUUUGGGUUUGUUUCUCUGAUUUUUACAAGGGAUGAACAGGCUAUCACUUCAGGGCAAAGCAGACAUGUAGCACAUCAGGGCAGGGUAAUCCAAGAAAAAUAGUAUCUGAAUACUAUUUGUGUUGCAAGCACAUGUAGGCGUUUAUUAUUUCUGAGAGCUCUCUCGUCAGUCAGACACUGAACAGUCGUGACAUCUGUUGUAAGUUACUGUCCCCCAGAGUCGUUUUACACAGUUUGGCGUUUGCUUUUUCAAAUCCACCACAAAUAAAGCCCUGCAUUAUCUCUCUGUCCCCACAAAGGCAAGUGAGAACCUCCUGGGGAAAUGCUGCAGACUGCGAGGAGGUGGAGAGGUUUAGCAGAGGAGGCUGUUUGGGUCCUCUCUGCCUUACUAUGGGUUGAGCACUGAACCCCCCAGUCCACACCAUCAGAGGGACCCCCCUGAGGUCCACAGGAGAUGAGACAAUGGUAAUUUCAUAAAAACAAAAACAAAGACCAAGUGCAAAGGCUGACCUGCAGCUCCAAACUUUCUGAGCCAUCAUCCUGUGCUGCAUUGGGGAUCCCUGUGUUGGUGUUCACAGGUUUGCACUUUGUUGGUGCCUCCCACACUGCUGCUGGGAGCUGGGAAGGCCAGAGCCAAGUCAGCUUUCCCUUUCAGCCCAUCUGCCUGUAUCAGGGAAGAAAUACUGUCUGUUUGUUUAGGUGAGAUAUUAGUCUGCCCCCAGAGCUCCAGGUCACUGUAAAUGUAACACAAGCCCUAUUUCCUGUUAGGAAAGGGGAAAAAAUAUGCCUGUGAAUUGUCUCUGAUGUGCUGCCAAUUGUCAGGGAAGAUUCAAUUUGGUGGAGAAUUACUGUGCUCUUAAGGAGCUGCACCAGUGACGGAGAUUUAGGGCAGCUACUCCUUCCAGAAAUGGGAGAUUUGUCUGAUUUCCACAAAACCAGGAUUGGGACUGGCAGCCAGCUGCCCACUCCACAGGCAUGAAUGGCUUGGAGGGGAGGCUGGAACAGUGGCUCAGGUUAAGGGGACCAUAUUGGGACAAGAAGGGGACACCUGUGCAUGGCUGAAGGAGAGCUGGACAGAGGUUUGGGGUGAGGCUGGCAGGGGCUGGGGUAAAGCUUUCUGUCAGUGUUUCACUAUGGUAAAGGACAACUGGUAUUUUCUUGCCACCUAGCCAAAAAUUCAGACCAAAAGGGACAAGAAUUUUUCUGUGUGUAAUGCACACAUGUGUUCACUUGUAAUCCAAUAAAGCAAAUAUGUGACCUGUGGAAUGACCCAAAGCUGCCACAAUAAAUAAUGUUAUAGAUCACUCAUGCA
Haemorhous mexicanus (house finch) is the source of this 2407-nucleotide long non-coding RNA. RefSeq lists it as uncharacterized. Lineage: Eukaryota; Metazoa; Chordata; Aves; Passeriformes; Fringillidae. The transcript has 6 exons. The record is from RefSeq and is a predicted model, not a curated record.